This 2958-nucleotide long non-coding RNA is filed under the name Homo sapiens (human). Its description in RNAcentral is "HSALNT0331719". The record is from RNAcentral. Lineage: Eukaryota; Metazoa; Chordata; Mammalia; Primates; Hominidae.
ACAUCCUCACUCAUACAAUUUCCCAUCAGAUAGCUGUCUUCAGGCAAAUGAGUAUUACAAGUAUGAGUUCUGGGCCACGUAUAUACCUUAUCUACAGCAGGCUAUGUAUGUAAGCCUAAGUCACUUUGUCUCUAGCUCCUCUGGGUUUUUGUUGUUGUUGUUUUGUUUGUUGAGAUGGAGUCUCGCUCUGUCACCCAGCCUGGGGUGCAGUGGCCUGAUCUCAGCUCACUGCAACCCCCGCCUCCCGGAUUCAAGCAAUUCUCCCGCCUAAGCCUCCUGAGUAGCUGGGAUUACAAGCAUGUGCCACCACGCCCGGUCUCGAACUCCUGACCUCAAGUGAUCCACCUGCCUUGGCCUCCCAAAGUGUUGGGGUUACAGGCAUGAGCCCCCGCACCGAGCCUACUCCUCUGUUUUUUAAUUUUUCUUUUUUCUUUUUUUUUUUUCUUUUGACCAAUAGUCUUCAAGCUAGAAAACUUCAUUGGGGACAUUUUAUUGGGAAGGUUUUCCACUCUAAUAAUCUCAAUUUCUCAAUGCGCUAAAACCCAGGGAGCAGAGCCUUGGAAUCAUUGCUAUACUGUCUAAUUAGAACCUCCUCUCAAGGAGCACAGCAUUGCUUUUCCAUUAGCAGCAUCAAACCCAGAGAGGAAAAGCAUGUGAAGGUUUAAGUUGUCCAUGGAGCUUAUUUUCAGCAUUUUCCCCUCAGGAUUUGAGAACAUGCCUAUGCCCACUCCUCCCUUUGUGACAUUUCUUAAAGCCUUGCUCAAUAAAAGUGAAUCUCUAAUAACAUAAAACACUAGAGAUGAAGUAAUACAUUGUUCUUUAAAAUAGAUGAGGUAAUAAAACACCAUUGACUGCUAUGGAAAUUUUCCAGUUCCUGGUUACUAGUCUGAUUCUUAUAAUGUGUCAAAAUUGCCUCAAGGUUAAGAUAUUGGUCUUAUUGCUAAUUCUAAGCACUGUAAUGCCAGAGAAACCUUACCAUUUUGUACUAAUAUGUUUAACAUGUUCAAGAUGCUGUCAUAAAUCUCAGGCUCCUCAUGGCUCAGUCCACUUCAACUAGUAAUGGCUUCCAGUCAUUUUUGAUGACUGGUAAAGGGUUGGCUAAGGGCCUAAUCUGCAUAAUGAGAAUGCUAGGACUAUAAAGGCAAGCGUCACGAAUCCUAUGCAAUAGAGAAUUUGCUAGACUUUCUGGGAAAGAGAACUUUGAUCCUAAUGAAUUUUUUUAAAUGGCCCCCUCAUUCCCACUAAGAGAGAUCUUUCAUCAACCUCCAGGAGGCAUGCCUUGGGAAACUCGCCCUAGGAUAGAAGAGUGCUGAAGAGUAUCUGGGCUCUGUCCUGGAUUGUGUCCUAAAUGUUAGUGAGAAGACCCAUUUUUGACUUGACAUUGGAUAGGAUCACUAAAUAAUCCUGACAUGCAACUCUGGGGUAAUUUGUUCCAUGUUCUCAAGCAAACUCACCAAAAAGCAGUAAGCGCUAGUGAAGAUGGAACCUUCAGCAGCCAGUGAGCAGUGGAGAUAGUUGUGGCAAAAUCAGUAUCAGCUGGGAUCCUGGCAAAAUUACCAUGGCUUCAAAUCAUCAUGACAGAUACUAUGGCUUGGCUCCCAACAGAAGGAGCAUUCAGCCAAGUAAAGUGUUCAGUGAAAACGCCAGGGAGUUAAUCCUGAUUCGUCUAAAGCCAUCAUGUUAGUUCCAUUCCCCUUGUCAAAGAAGGACUUAGGCAUAGCCAUGUUAUGCAACCCUAGCCCCUGAGAUGAAAUAAGUGGAAUUAUUCUGCCAUUGAGUCCCUCCUGCCCACCUCCUAUAGGUGAUAUCCUCAGGUUAGUGUUGAAGGCAUUCAGCCUUUCCUGUAUGAGAUCCAUCCAGAUCCUGCCUGAUGGCAGCCCAUCGUUCUAUGGGUAAUUAGGACGGGGCUCUGCUGGGCAGUUAUUCUGCUCCUUGUGACAUUAACUGGAGUUACUCAGUGGUAUUCAGAUGGUGGCUGGAGAGUUCAUUAACUCUUCCCUCACAGUCUCGUGCCUUGACAGGGAAGUCUGGAAAGCAGGGCUCAGAUAGAAUCUAAGUGGCCAGGCCUCUCUCUCCCUGGCCUCUCUAUGGCCUCUCCACAUGGUCCCUUCAGUGUGGGAGACAGCUUACAUGGUGAGUCAGUACUACCAAGUAUAGGGUUCUAAAAGACUGAGGAAAAAACUGCAAGACUCCUUAUGACUUAGCCUUGAAGUCUCAGAACAUCACUUCUUCUCACAUUCUACUAGACAAAGUAAGACACAAGACCAGUCCAACUCAACAGGAAGGAAUUAGAUUCCACAUCUCAAUCUAAGGAGCAGCACAAAUAUGCAGAGAGGAAAGGAAUUGAUUGUGGCCCUCUUUGAAAACUAUCUCAGGCCAUCCUUGGGCCACUUCAAUUCAUAGCUCUUCCUUAUGCAAAAUACACUCACCUCUUGCAUUUGUUUUCUAUGCUGCGUAACAAAUUACUACAAACAUAGCAGCCUUAAGUAAUACACAUUUAUUAUCUUAGUUUCUGUGGGGCAGGAGCCUGGGCAUGACUCAGCUAGGUCCUCUGCUCAGGGUCUCAUGUGACUGCAGUCAAGGUGUCAGAUGAGCUAUAUUCUCAUCUGGAGGCUUGACAGGGGAAGAGCCUACUUCCAAGUUCAUUAGGUUGGUGGUAGAAUUCACUCCAUUGUGGAUGUAUGACUGAGGACCCUGGCUUUUUGCUAGCCAUCAGAAGAGGCCAGUCUUGGGUCCUAGAGACCACCUGUGGCUCCUUACAAUGUGGGCUUUCUCAACAUGGCUACUUACUGCAUGAAGCCAGCAAAAAGAAUCUCCCAGUCCAGUAUGCUAAGACAGAGCCUUGUAUAACAUAAGUCCCACCCUCACUCAAGGGGAGGGGAAUGUUAAGAAGACAUAAACAACAAGAGGUGAAAAUUAUUGACCGUAGGACCUGUCCAUCACAUUCCCUUUUUGGAG